This 300-nucleotide ribosomal RNA is filed under the name uncultured Haloterrigena sp. Its description in RNAcentral is "bacterial SSU rRNA". It matches the Rfam family "Bacterial small subunit ribosomal RNA", at positions 496 to 795 of the family's 1533-position model. Lineage: Archaea; Methanobacteriati; Methanobacteriota; Halobacteria; Halobacteriales; Natrialbaceae. The record is from RNAcentral.
GUUCACGUUGGGCCAGCAGCCGCGGUAAUCGGAGUGCGGCUGGACGUGUGCGUGAUGACUGCUCGGAAAGUGGCGCUAGGCGGCUUUGCAAGUCAGGGGUGAAAUCCUUGGGCUCAACCCAAGAACUGACGUGGAAACUGUAAAGCUGGAGUGUCGGAGGGGAUAGCGGAAUUCCUAAUGUAGUGGUGAAAUACGUAGAUAUUAGGAGGAACACCGGUGGCGAAGGCGGCUAUCUGGACGACAACUGACGCUGAGGCGCGAAAGCGCGGGGAUCAAACAGGAUUAGAUACCCGAGUAGUC